UCCGGUUUGGCACCGGCAGUCUCCCUAGAGUUCCCGGCAUGACCCGCUGGCAACUAAGGACAGGGGUUGCGCUCGUUGCGCCACUUAAGGCAACACCUCACGGCACGAGCUGACGACAGCCAUGCACCACCUGUGCAGGCUCCGAAGAGCGCCCGCUUUCACGGGUUUCACCCUGCAUGUCAAGCCCAGGUAAGGUGGGGAUGACGUCAAGGUACGGAC
RNAcentral lists this unclassified non-coding RNA (219 nucleotides) under uncultured Actinomycetes bacterium. RNAcentral describes it as "uncultured actinobacterium contains 16S-23S intergenic spacer region". Lineage: Bacteria; Bacillati; Actinomycetota; Actinomycetes. The record is from RNAcentral.